CCUACGGGAGGCAGCAGUGAGGAAUAUUGGUCAAUGGACGAGAGUCUGAACCAGCCAAGUAGCGUGAAGGAUGACUGCCCUAUGGGUUGUAAACUUCUUUUAUAUGGGAAUAAAAUGUUCCACGUGUGGGAUUUUGUAUGUACCAUAUGAAUAAGGAUCGGCUAACUCCGUGCCAGCAGCCGCGGUAAUACGGAGGAUCCGAGCGUUAUCCGGAUUUAUUGGGUUUAAAGGGAGCGUAGGUGGAUUGUUAAGUCAGUUGUGAAAGUUUGCGGCUCAACCGUAAAAUUGCAGUUGAAACUGGCAGUCUUGAGUACAGUAGAGGUGGGCGGAAUUCGUGGUGUAGCGGUGAAAUGCUUAGAUAUCACGCAGAACUCCGAUUGCGAAGGCAGUUCACUGGACUGCAACUGACACUGAGGCUCGAAAGUGUGGGUAUCAAACAGGAUUAGAUACCCGUGUAGUC
RNAcentral lists this ribosomal RNA (460 nucleotides) under uncultured bacterium. RNAcentral's name for it is "partial 16S ribosomal RNA". It matches the Rfam family "Bacterial small subunit ribosomal RNA", at positions 338 to 795 of the family's 1533-position model. The record is from RNAcentral.